CAAGGCUACUGGAGGCUCUUGGCCUUCCUGGUGGUGGAAAUGGCAGCCCUUCUGUACAGGUCUCCCGGGGGGGGGGGGGAAUUCAAAAGCACCAAGAGCAGUAAAACUGCUGAGGACAGGAGCUGUGGACUGUUGGUUUUAUACAGAACUCGAUGUUGAAGGAGAAACUCCAGGGAGCUUUAAAAGAUGAAGACAGCGCUUUUAUUCCUUGUCAUGGAUUCCCGGCCCCAGCGUGCUCGGAGGCAGGCGGCCAGAAGGCGAGAAGCUCAGCCCCGCGCCUGAGUGGCACCGGGACCGGGGAGGAGCCGACGACUCAGCCGGCUUGCCUUGCCUAGCCAGCGAGUUCAUUCCGCCGCGCUCCUCCUGAGCGGCUGGGGAGAGAGACGGCGAGGGGGAGGCGCGGGCAGGGAGCCUCGGCUGACAAAGGGCUGCGGACGGCUCCAAGCAAAACGGCUCGGACGGAGAAGACGGGGAGGAGGAGGCAGCCCGCGCUGCCUUCCCCGGGCGGGGCUUUUUCUCGGAGACUCGCGCAGUCCGUGGAGGAGCGCGAGCAGCUGAGGCUGAGGCUGCAGGGAGAGAGCUCCGCGAGGACGUCCGCCCAGAUGACGGCGCGGUGAAGAAGUGCGCGGAUUUUGUGCGCUGCUGCCCGGGCCGGCGGUUUUCAGCUGUGCUCGGUCGGGAGGACUCCGCCGGGGUUUGUUCCCUCUGACGCACCUCGGGCACCUUGUCUUGGCACUGGCACGGCACGGUGUGGCAGCUGCCUUCGCUGCCUGCCGGGGUUGGUUGGUUUGGUUAGAGGCAGCGAUAGGCUGGGUGUGAUCUGGACAACGAGACCUGUGUGACGACCUGACUGCUGUGAAAUGCUCGCCGGAGCGGCACCCGGACGUCCACUUGCUGCACCUUGAGCGGGAAACACGCAGAGGCCGAGGCGCCGUGCUGACUUGCCGCCUGCGAAUCUCUUCCCCGUAACAAGGUCCGUGCCAGGAAAGUGCAAAGAGUGUGAAUUGACACUUCAGGAUUAUCCUCGAUAGGAAGUUUCUCAGGCUGCGCUUUGAACGCCUCGGGCUGCGGAGAAAACNGCUGGUGAGGCUUCCCAAGGCUUCUGAUUGAGCUUCUCCGCUCCUGAGCCAAUUUAAGUAGGAGACAGGAAUCUCCCUCAGGCAGCAAAGAGACCCUUUGACUGCCCUUCNCCAAGCCCCGUUCCAGCUGGUAAGGAUCGUUUCUCCUCUCACAACUUGCCUUUUGGAGAACGAAGGGAAAGACGGUGAGGUUCCAGCCGGCAGUUCGCCGUGUGCCUCUGAAGUCGCUCCUUGCCUGGUCGAGAGGCUUUUCGUU
RNAcentral lists this long non-coding RNA (1335 nucleotides) under Salvator merianae (Argentine black and white tegu). RNAcentral describes it as "lncRNA (ENSSMRG00000009100.1)". The record is from RNAcentral. Lineage: Eukaryota; Metazoa; Chordata; Lepidosauria; Squamata; Teiidae.